GCCCAUGUGGAUCAAUCGGACCGCGCACUGGACUCACAAUCCAGAGGUUGCAGGUUCGAAUCCCGCGGCGGGCG
Molecule: transfer RNA, 74 nt
Organism: Culex pipiens (northern house mosquito)
Lineage: Eukaryota; Metazoa; Arthropoda; Insecta; Diptera; Culicidae
Rfam family: tRNA
About the family: Transfer RNA (tRNA) molecules are approximately 80 nucleotides in length. Their secondary structure includes four short double-helical elements and three loops (D, anti-codon, and T loops).
Source: Rfam